GCAGUCGAGCGGAUGACGGGAGCUUGCUCCUUGAUUCAGCGGCGGACGGGUGAGUAAUGCCUAGGAAUCUGCCUGGUAGUGGGGGACAACGUUUCGAAAGGAACGCUAAUACCGCAUACGUCCUACGGGAGAAAGCAGGGGACCUUCGGGCCUUGCGCUAUCAGAUGAGCCUAGGUCGGAUUAGCUAGUAGGUGAGGUAAUGGCUCACCUAGGCGACGAUCCGUAACUGGUCUGAGAGGAUGAUCAGUCACACUGGAACUGAGACACGGUCCAGACUCCUACGGGAGGCAGCAGUGGGGAAUAUUGGACAAUGGGCGAAAGCCUGAUCCAGCCAUGCCGCGUGUGUGAAGAAGGUCUUCGGAUUGUAAAGCACUUUAAGUUGGGAGGAAGGGCAGUAAGCUAAUACCUUGCUGUUUUGACGUUACCGACAGAAUAAGCACCGGCUAACUCUGUGCCAGCAGCCGCGGUAAUACAGAGGGUGCAAGCGUUAAUCGGAAUUACUGGGCGUAAAGCGCGCGUAGGUGGUUCGUUAAGUUGGAUGUGAAAGCCCCGGGCUCAACCUGGGAACUGCAUCCAAAACUGGCGAGCUAGAGUAUGGUAGAGGGUGGUGGAAUUUCCUGUGUAGCGGUGAAAUGCGUAGAUAUAGGAAGGAACACCAGUGGCGAAGGCGACCACCUGGACUGAUACUGACACUGAGGUGCGAAAGCGUGGGGGAGCAAACAGGAUUAGAUACCCUGGUAGUCCACGCCGUACACGAUGUCAACUAGCCGUUGGAAUCCUUGAGAUUUUAGUGGCGCAGCUAACGCAUUAAGUUGACCGCCUGGGGAGUACGGGCCGCAAGGUUAAAACUCAAAUGAAUUGACGGGGGCCCGCACAAGCGGUGGAGCAUGUGGUUUAAUUCGAAGCAACGCGAAGACCCUUACC
Molecule: ribosomal RNA, 924 nt
Filed under: Pseudomonas mosselii
Lineage: Bacteria; Pseudomonadati; Pseudomonadota; Gammaproteobacteria; Pseudomonadales; Pseudomonadaceae
Description: bacterial SSU rRNA
Rfam family: Bacterial small subunit ribosomal RNA
Source: RNAcentral